UCAUUUCAAUCAACGAUAAUUUUUAUUAAUUUAUCUACGUAUAUUAUAAUAUUGUGUAAAUCAUAUGAAUAAUAUAAUAUUUUAGUAAUAGUAUUCGAACAGUUAUUAUAAUUAUUUUUUAGAAUAAACUUAAAUUUUAGGUGUACGUAUAUAUUAUUAUUAAUAAUAUGUUACAGUGUUUACAGGGAUGUUACGGGGAGGAGAGGGCUGACGCGCGUCCGUGUACGAUAUUACUAUUAUUAUAUGUAGGUAUUAUAGUAAGUACAACAACUCGAUAUUUUAUAUUACGUCUAAUGUCGCGGAUCCACGCAUGGAAUGCAAACAUAACACGCAACAAUACAUGUAAAUACAGGAAAAACUCAAUAAAAAACAGUUAUAUUAUCCUUUUACUAAAGGGGAAAGUAAUUUUCCAUUUUUUACUUAAAUGCAUUUCCUGUAGUUAUUUCAAAAUGUGGGGGAAGCGGGGUGAUAAACCGUUCACCUCCCUUAUCUGUGCCCCUGCAUAUCGCACACAUCCACAUAUUUCGCAUUUGUUUCAUAGCGGUUGGUUUUUCACGUGUUUUUAUUAUUGUUAUUACAUUAUGUUACAUUUGCAGAUUCAAGCGCGUGCGCUGCGUGUUAUGAUUGUAUUCUAUGGGUAUGCUCCUUUACAUCAUAUACGAUGUGAUUUGUGUGCGCAGUGGAGUGGAUUCGAAUUUUUCGGGGGUUGAGGGGUAUAUAAUUUAUAACUUUAUGGGUAAUUAAAAACCAAGCGUUACGGUAAUACACGUCAUUAUUUCAUUUAUAUUUAAAAAAAAUAUAUGAAAUCCGCAAAGCUCCUUCUUGCUAGUAAGUAUAUUAUAAUAUAGGUACCAAUAAAAGCAAUCUCACUGGAUUAUUUUAUGUGUGGAAUAAUGCAAAAAUUACUUGUUCGAUAAAGCAUUUAAUAUUAUUUAUAUUUUCUUUUUUUGUUUUUCGGGGAGAGGAGAGUUAAAUCUUUAAAAAACCCACCAAUCGUGUCAGAGCCACUGAGUGUGUGAGUAUGUGUGUGUAUUAUGCACAUGAAGUUAGGCAGUGGCGGAUCCAGACCAUAAUUCUUGGAGGGAGUAGAGCACAAUUAGAAAAAAUUAUAUUAUUUUUUGAAAACUUUAUAAAAACGUAUUAUGCUUCGUGUUUUGGGAGGUUGAUAAAUGUUGCCCCCUCCUUGGAUCUGCCACCGGAGUUAGAAUUGCGCGGAGAACCGUAGAUGGUCAUAUAAAAAACUGAAACAAUGUAUUUACUAGUGUGGGAUGGGGAAGGGGGGAAGUAACAUAAUUUAGGUACAUUAUUUUGUAUACAAAAUAUUAAUGAUAAUAAUAAUAAUAACAAUAAUGAUAAUAAUAAUAAUAAAAAUAAUAAUAAUAAUAAUAAUAAUAAUAAUAAUAAUAAUGAUAAUGAUAAUAAUAAUAGUAAUUGUAGUAGAUAUAAUAAUAACAAUAGUAGGUAGGUUAUAAUAAUAACAAUGACAGUGAAACUAUAAUAAUUUUAUACAGGUUAUAAUUUAAGCGGUGUGUAUAUAGGUAUAGUAAUAAUUUUAAGAACUAAGAAAUAAAUAAUUUACGAAUAAUGGCAUUGGAUGAUAAAGUGUUUUACAAUACCUGUCCCGGUUAAAUGUAUGUGUAAAUAAAUAAAUAAAAUAAUAAAUACAUAAAUAGGCAUACCUAUUUAUUUAGUUUAUGUUCUAAAAAUAAAAUCGCAUAUUAUGUAUUUUUAUCCUCGUGGAAUGUCUAAAGUCUCCGAAAAGUUGAAUGUCUUAAGGCCGGUAUUACACUGGACGGGCACAUCGGUCGAUCGACAAUAUUAUACCGUGUCGAACGUGUUGCCGAUUUGUCGAUUUACUAUUACAUACAAUCGCCAUUUCAUAAAAGCUACGAUAAUUUUAUUAAUAAUCGUUAUGCCACCAGCGCACACCGUGCGAUUGUCGAUUUAGUUUCCUUUGAUGUUUACCGACUUUCGGUCGAUCGGUCGAUUUGUGUUCGAUCGACAAGUAAAAUUGGCACGCUGGUCGAACGGAAUUCGGUAGCAGGUUUCGAAUCAACGUGUCGAUCGACUAAUGUCGAUCCAGUGUAAUAGCGGCAUUAAAAUUGUUUUUCUCUUACAUUAUAUUGUAUAUAUUACUGUAUUCAGAUGAUGUUUUUAUUACACGUAGGUUUGUUGGUUUUACUUAAGAUGCAAAUUCUCACGAUACAAAGGAAACGCAGGUGGGCUAGGUUAUAACACAGUUCAUUCAUAAUUCACACUACGUGAAUAGUAUAUUAGAAAAGAGAUUUAUUACACAUACACAAACACACACACACAUGACAACCUGAAAACGUCGAGAUACACGCGAUAUUAUGUUAUCAUAGUUAACCUAUAAUAAUAAUAAUUAUUGUUAACUGCUGCGACAAGAAUUUGUUUUAAUUUUUAAAUUUUGGACGGAGUACCAGUGGGUUCGUUAGGUAUGUUCGAAAAAUUUUUAUUUUACUUAUUAGUUAAUACAAUUUUCAAAAUUUUCCAAAUCCCGUAAACAAAAAUCGUAUUUUAUUGUUCUGCAAAACCAUUGAUAUAUUUAAAGGCGUCUGCACGUGGACUUUUGUUAUUUUUGGCUCACGGACAAUACGUGAUCUACUAAAUAUGGUCUACACCCAAAAUAUCUUCAUAAAUAAUUAUACACAGUGCCUAUAAUAAUUUUAUUCGCAGAAUACCUACUGAAUAAAAAUUACGUAAUAAACUCACAAAAUUAAAUUAUCUAUAAAUAGUUCAAUGUUUUGAUCAUUUUACCACGUCUAUAAAAGGCAAAUAUAUGUGUUCUGUCUAAACGUCAAAUCUUUACAAACAUUAUUAACCGAAUUCAAACAAAAAAAAAACAAAAUUAAAAAUAGCAAAAGCAUUUUUUUCGAAUAUUUUCCCGUUUUUCCAGAUUGUUAUAAAAUCACCUUAAAAAAUAAACACCAUUGUAAAGAAAAUACAUUCCUCGUUUGACUCAGAAUUUAAAAUUCAAAUCAAACGUGUCAUGUAAGAUUUUUUUCCUUUCCCAUCAGAAAAAUAAAUCAUCGUAAUCAAAACAUUCUACGAUAGGUAUGAGAAUUUUCCUGUAAAAUAAUAACAGCCGUGCGCAAACUCCUCAAUAUAAUGGCAACAGAAACUGAUUAAACUAUUUGUGACGAAUUCAUUUAAACUUGUUAAUAUUGUAAAUGUUAACAAUUUGGAAAAGCCACGAGCAGGACCUUUUUAUACGUUUUAUCGACAUUCAAUUAUGUAGUUUAAAUAUAUAAUAUAAUUAUUUUUAAUUUAUACGUACACCGCUACGUCUAUAAUAUAUAAGUCAUGCAUAUAAUAUAUUCAAGUGUGUUUUUUUUUAAAACACUAUUGUUGUAAGUUUAUAAGUAAAUCGAUAAAAGAAAAACAUAUGUAUUAUAUGUAUAUAUGUAUAUAUAUAUCCUAAACUCAAAUAGGGGAGAUCGGGUUAAGUGUAUAGCCCAUCAACCCCUCCUCCUCAACUACGACUCACACUGUACGAUACAAAUUAUCAUGGUACCAUAGUAUCGCAAUAUAUAUAUAUCAAUUAAUUUUAAUAAAGAUGAAUAUAGAAAAAGAUAGAUAGAGAGAGAGAGAUAGAGAGUUGAACGAUAUAAACGCGUUUACACUGAAAAUUACACGAAUAAAAAACCGUGACCGGCGACGAUGUGUAAAAAAAGGAAUUAAGACUUUUUUUCAACGAUUUCAAAAUUGUUUUCCGACAAACAAUAACUCCCGUACGACAUUACUUGUAGUGGGGAAGGAAUGGUGAACAUCCAGCCGUAAUUUUCGAUCUGAGAGGAAAACAUGUCUGAGUAGCUUUUGAUGGCUUUUUUUUCAGUUUGUUACACGUAUUUCCGACCUCGUUAAACAUUAUGUAAUUUACAGAAUCGAAAAAAAGGUCACAUUGUAUAGAGUGAGUCCCUCACGUCUUACGACGAACAGUUGAAAACCGAUCAUUUUUUAUCAUUAACCGUCGUACCUAUACAAAAAAAAAAAAAAAUAAUAAAAAAUGAAGUAAUGUUGUCUGUAACUAUUGGUGUAAUUGUUUUAAAUACGACCGUUUUUUUUAUAAAAACGUAGAUACCUAUAGUUGAUAUUUGGUUAGCGAUUAUUAAGAGAAGAAAACACAAAAACUGAGGGGAGGAGGAGAAAGUUACAUAAAAUAUCUAUUAUUCUAUUGUAUUAAAAUUAUAAAUUAUAAAUUCAAGCGGACGAAAGUAGGUGUAUACGGUUUAGACGGCGGAUUUGUCAUCAUGCUACAACUCUGGUUACUCGACAAAAACGACAAAAAAAAAAAAAGAAGAAAAAAACAUUUUUGCUAUGUAGGUUAGGUUAGUCCCAGUGUUGAAACUAUACAAAUAAGUAAAAAUUGUUCAAUAAUAAUUAUUUAAAACAAACACCUAAUAGAUGAGAAAUAUAGAUAAGUCAAUUAUUCAACUAUGUAGAAUAUAGAUAAUAAGAUAAUAAAAUAUAACAACGAAUAAAAUAAGCAUAAUUGUGUAAAUGCGAAAAGUAUACACGCCUAUAUAGCUGUUACACAGUAUAUACGUAAUAUUAUAAUAGUAACAUCGGUUUUAAAGCUAAUAGAGAUUUUAAUUUUAGAUAACGAAAUUUGCAAUAAAUUAUCUAAAUAUAUCAUAAAAAACCAAGAAUAAAAUAUCACUAUUUAGGUACCUGAGUCUCAACGCGACGGCUAUGACACGCACUAUAAGACGCGAUGGAAAACGACGACUAUGGAAUACCAAAAAUACCUACUCAACAUAAAACAUAAUGUCCACUCGGAAAAUUCAAAAUACCGUUAAAAAUUAAAACCGAAUAACGAAAAUUCACCUAAACCUAUAAUAAAUUAUUAAUUAUAUAAUAUGUAUAUUAAAAUAUACUAAAAUCGAUUAAACUACAGUGGCAUUAGGAGGUAAUCAUUUCAUUUUUUUCGCAUGCGGUUUUCCUAUACUUCAGUAUAAUAAAUUAUUAUCCUAUGGCAUUAUGUAUAUAAGUAUAUACCUAUGUUACGAGAAAAAAUAUAAUAAGACAAUUUUAUAAACAUUAAGUGCGACAGAUGAUUAACACAGCGGUGUAUUAUAAUCGAAAACCUAUUAGGAACAAGUGGUGCGAAGAUAAGUGUUUUGAUAAUUUUAUGUGACCGGCCGUUUCAUUAUGAUAACAUCUACUGAAAUCACAUUCAAAAGGCAUUGAUCUCUAUAGUGGCGGCGAUGGCGACGAUGACGGUGUGCAGUGGCCCUGCAGCAGAAAUUAGACCAUCAUAAUUCGAUUAUUAAACUCCCCAAAAUCAUUUCUCAAUCGUUUUUAUGUUAUCGCCCAGAGUCUUAAUAUUAUAUUGUACUAAAUUGAAACAGCGGAGUAUUUUACCGAGGAGGGAGUAAUUGAAUAUAGAAAUUGUCAUAUUGUACGGCUAGAAAAAAAAAAAAAAGAAAAACAGAGAAAAAACUACGUUAUAUGUAUUUUAGAUAAUAAGUGUACAAACACACGCGGACGAUACAGCAAGAAUGGUAUAUAUUAUUACGAUUAUUCAAGAA
This 5552-nucleotide long non-coding RNA is filed under the name Cinara cedri. Lineage: Eukaryota; Metazoa; Arthropoda; Insecta; Hemiptera; Aphididae. The record is from RNAcentral.